RNAcentral lists this signal recognition particle RNA (148 nucleotides) under Homo sapiens (human). Its description in RNAcentral is "Metazoan signal recognition particle RNA". It matches the Rfam family "Metazoan signal recognition particle RNA". From Rfam's summary of the family: The signal recognition particle (SRP) is a universally conserved ribonucleoprotein. It is involved in the co-translational targeting of proteins to membranes. The record is from Rfam by way of RNAcentral. Lineage: Eukaryota; Metazoa; Chordata; Mammalia; Primates; Hominidae.
GCUGGGCAUGGUGGUGCAUGCCUGUAGUCCCAGCUAUUUGGGAGGCUGAGGUGGGAGGAUCGCUUGAGCCCAGGAGUUUGAGGCUGCAGUGAGCUAUUAUCACACCACUGCACUCCAGCCUGGAUGACAGAGUGAGAUCCUGUCUCCA